ACAAUGUGGUUUUAGAGGGUGAGGUUUGAUGUGAUUGGUAAUUACAGCUGGAAUGAUUUGCUGAUUCAGCAAUACCUUUGCUUAUUAUUGGAAUGUGAAAUAUAAUGAAAAGGCAAUUCUGUUUUUAGAUUGUUGUAACUAAAUCAAUUUAUUUAUUAAACGUAACUUAAUGUUUUGUUGCAGCUCCUUGAUUAGUAGUUGUAUCAGGCGGUAGGAGGUGCCAGUUUACAUAUGUAUAGGUUUUUUAUUACUGUAUAUAGUCUUAGCAAUGGAAUAUGUAGUAAGAUGGAGAUUAUUGUGAGAUAUCUUAUGUAUUUUGGUAUAGGUUAUGAUUCUAGGUUACAUACUUUAUAUUCAUUUGAUGAUUAUAUCAUUAAUUAUGGCCACUCUCUUUGAUCAGUGGUGCUUUCACACUGGAGGAGGCGCCAGCUUCCAGCUGAACAGGUUUCAUAUUGUCAUAGUCUUAGCAAUAUUGAAUACAUAAAUAUGAUCCAAGGC
This is a long non-coding RNA of Amphimedon queenslandica, 498 nucleotides long. RefSeq lists it as uncharacterized. The record is from RefSeq and is a predicted model, not a curated record. NCBI's taxonomy places the organism in Eukaryota, Metazoa, Porifera, Demospongiae, Haplosclerida, Niphatidae. The transcript is spliced from 4 exons.